GGUGGCUGUGGUCCAUCCCUGGGGUCACCGGGCCCUGUGCCUCCGCUCCUCCCAGGUCCACCCAGGGCGGGUGCCUGCUCCCCACCCAGCCUCGGCGUCUCCACCUGCCAAAUGGGUUCCAGCUCUUGUCCUCUGUGGUCUGGGGUGGGCACCCAGGAAGUGAGACUUGCGAGGCACCCCUAGGCUUGGUCUCAAAGGGAGAAAACAUCCCCUGAGCCUGCUCCAGAGCCCCCAAGUAGAAAUCUCUGGGUGACUGCCUUUGCCCUGGGGGAGGGGGGGUGAUCCCUAGGGGUGGGUUCCCACUGGUCCCAAAGUGUGCACCAGGUCACUCCUGGAACCACAGGCCCUGGCUGCUCUCCCCAGCAUCCAUUUCACAGGUGAGAAACUGAGGCUGGGACUGCAGGCUGAGUCUGUAUUCAGUGAGGAAUGCACCAGGCCUGCACCUAUUAGACACCUGCUGCGUGCCCUGACUUGGCACCAAGGACCCUGGGAUAAGCCGACCUGCCAGGGCCAAGGAGAGCCAUGUUCAGGGAGGGGUCUGGAGAACUUCACCAGUGACCCACGCUGGUAAAACUCAAACAGGGCAGAAGCAUUAAAAUAACCACCCUCGUCCCACAGCCUUGCCUCGCGAAGGAAUCCCGGCCUCCGGUUCGGGAGCAUCCUCCCAGGCCUCCUCCAGAACAUUCGCUCACACACGGAUACUCAGGCUCGCAGACGUAUACGGACGCACACGCAUAUGUACGCAGACACACGUGCACCCAGACUCACAGGAACACGCGGACACGUGGGAACGCUGAUUACGUAAAGAGCUUCCUCUGUCUGUGGACCAGCUCCGCGCACCAGCUCUGAAGGUGUUUCCAUUGGGUGAAGGCACUUGGUGGCCUUGCACGCUGCACGAGUUCUGAGCUUCAGAAUGUGUCACUGCAGGCUGUCGGGUUCAGGAGCCAGUCUCACACAGGUGAAUCCCGACAGGACCCACAGACAGAUGAGGACGGAGACAGGAGGAGACUGAGUCUGCAGUGUGCCAACCCUGGGCUGCCCCUGUGCUUGGCUGCCACACUGUCUCACCUGGGUCUGGGCUGAGGACCUGGCCCUGGAGACCAAGGACAUUCCAGAGCCUUGGUUUGGAAUCCUCAGUUCCGUGGACGUGGAUGUCCUCGUGGAGUGUGCACGAGCCAGACAGGCCUGGGCUGGAGCUCCUGCCUCUGCUCUCUGCGAGUCUGUUUCCCCACGGUCAGAUGGGAGAGUGAGGGCUCCCAGCUUGCAGAAGGGCAGGAACUGGUGCUGUUGACCCGGGGUGGCACUGGCAUGAUCUGGAGAAGAACCUGGCUUCUGGUUUGGGGUUGGCCCCCACCCGUGAGGCUGGUACCUGUUUUGUCUGUGGACAGGUUAUGCUGUGAGAUUGUCUUUGCCGAUAAUUUAUUUAACACAAGUUCACUGGGAUUAUAACAAUUUCACAAGCCAGUAGCAUACAGGAUAAUGUCUCUUAAUAAGGCAAUAAAGAAAUAAAAAGGGGCUGGCCCUGCGGCCUAGUGGUUAAGUUUGGCACGCUCCACUUCGGCAGUCUGGGUUUGGUUCCUGGGCACAGACCUACACCACUUGUCAGCAGCCACACUGUGGCAGCAGCUCGCUCACAAAAUAGAGGAAGAUUGGCACAGAUGUUACCUUAGGGCAAAUCUUCCUCAGCAAAAAAAGAAAAAGAAAGAAAUUGUAUACUCCAAACCAAUGAUCGACUAAUUACACUCUUGUUCCAGGCAAAGGGGAGAGGAAAGAAAUAAAGUCCAAAUUUACUUGAGGUGUCCCUUUCUCUGAGCUGAUUCUUGGACAAGUCGACUUAGAGCUGACAUCCAGCUGCCAUUGCAAAGUUCCAGCUAUUCCCUGGCCACAGUUGCUCUGCCACAGUUCUUGUGGAGAAGACCCCAGCAGCACCUGUCACCUGCGCUCCUGUGUGCUUACGGACAACAAAUGACGAAUGUCAACGACGGCUUCCUGGCACGGCUUCCUCGGCGUGGACAACCUCACUCUUAGAUGGGGCAGCUCCACUCUUGUCCUACAUAAGUGGGCUUGAAGUCGCGUCAAACCGAGACACAGCAGCCCCGCGUCCCAUGCUGCAGACGUCCACACCCGACUGGGGUGGUUUGUGUGCCGCAUGCGGUUGGAAUUCCUCCCCAGAAACAGCGCAGACUUCUCCAACCGGUUUUUAUUUUGUCCUUAAGCCACAUAUUUGAAAAUUACUUAAUCAAAGAGGGUCAUGAACUAAAUCUCAGGCCUGGCUCUGGGGCCCCAGGAGGGGAGUUCGUGAACGUGGGCAUCACUGGGCAGCUGAUGGCUCCCUCCGGGUCCCUGUGCACGCCCUGUCUCGGUGGACUGGGUCUCCCACCUGGCCACGGCCAUUGAUUGAGGGCCUACUAUGUGCCAGGCAAGGUCUUGGGUGUUUCCCACAAACGCUCUUGCGCACAACCACCCUGGGAAGGAGGGUGGCUACCCCCACUUUGCAAGUGAGGAAGCUAAAGCUCAGAGAUGAAGUGGCUUGCCCUAGUUCACCCAGUGGGUGAGAGGCAGAGCUGGGAUGUCAGAUGCCAGAUCCCACAUCCUCUGUCUGUGUCCAGAGGCUGUCUGCCCCUCGGGCAGAACGGGAAGACCAAGACCAC
Equus caballus (horse) is the source of this 2651-nucleotide long non-coding RNA. NCBI's taxonomy places the organism in Eukaryota, Metazoa, Chordata, Mammalia, Perissodactyla, Equidae. The record is from Ensembl.